This 497-nucleotide ribosomal RNA is filed under the name uncultured bacterium. RNAcentral describes it as "bacterial SSU rRNA". It matches the Rfam family "Bacterial small subunit ribosomal RNA", at positions 10 to 523 of the family's 1533-position model. The record is from RNAcentral.
AGUUUGAUCCUGGCUCAGAUUGAACGCUGGCGGCAGGCCUAACACAUGCAAGUCGGACGGUAGCACAGAGAGCUUGCUCUUGGGUGACGAGUGGCGGACGGGUGAGUAAUGUCUGGGGAUCUGCCCGAUAGAGGGGGAUAACCACUGGAAACGGUGGCUAAUACCGCAUAACGUCGCAAGACCAAAGAGGGGGACCUUCGGGCCUCUCACUAUCGGAUGAACCCAGAUGGGAUUAGCUAGUAGGCGGGGUAAUGGCCCACCUAGGCGACGAUCCCUAGCUGGUCUGAGAGGAUGACCAGCCACACUGGAACUGAGACACGGUCCAGACUCCUACGGGAGGCAGCAGUGGGGAAUAUUGCACAAUGGGCGCAAGCCUGAUGCAGCCAUGCCGCGUGUAUGAAGAAGGCCUUAGGGUUGUAAAGCUCUUUUACCCGGGAUGAUAAUGACAGUACCGGGAGAAUAAGCCCCGGCUAACUCCGUGCCAGCAGCCGCGGUAA